UGACUGAGUGGCGGACGGGUGAGUAACGCGUGGGUAACCUGCCUCAUACAGGGGGAUAACAGUUAGAAAUGACUGCUAAUACCGCAUAAGACCACAGUACCGCAUGGUACAGGGGUAAAAACUCCGGUGGUAUGAGAUGGACCCGCGUCUGAUUAGGUAGUUGGUGGGGUAACGGCCUACCAAGCCGACGAUCAGUAGCCGACCUGAGGGGGUGACCGGCCACAUUGGGACUGAGACACGGCCCAA
This 246-nucleotide ribosomal RNA is filed under the name uncultured bacterium. RNAcentral describes it as "partial 16S ribosomal RNA". It matches the Rfam family "Bacterial small subunit ribosomal RNA", at positions 88 to 334 of the family's 1533-position model. The record is from RNAcentral.